Acanthosepion pharaonis is the source of this 109-nucleotide non-coding RNA. NCBI's taxonomy places the organism in Eukaryota, Metazoa, Mollusca, Cephalopoda, Sepiida, Sepiidae. The record is from the annotation of a GenBank genome assembly.
ACGGACACAUCACCUUGAAAAACACUGUUUUCCGUACGAUCUCCGAAGUUAACCAACAUCGAGCCUGGUUAAUAUCUAGUUAGGUGACCGCUUGGGAAUAUCAGGUGCU